This 328-nucleotide ribosomal RNA is filed under the name uncultured eukaryote. RNAcentral's name for it is "partial 18S ribosomal RNA". It matches the Rfam family "Eukaryotic small subunit ribosomal RNA", at positions 1470 to 1796 of the family's 1831-position model. The record is from RNAcentral.
CCCUUAGAUGUCCUGGGCCGCACGCGCGUUACACUGAUGCAUUCAACGAGCUUAUAACCUUGGCCGAGAGGCCUGGGCAAUCUUGUUAACGUGCAUCGUGAUAGGGAUAGAUUAUUGAAAUUAUUAAUCUUGAACGAGGAAUUCCUAGUAAACGCAGAUCAUCAAUCUGCAUUGAUUACGUCCCUGCCCUUUGUACACACCGCCCGUCGCACCUACCGAUUGAAUGGUCCGGUGAAAUCUUGGGAUUUUGUUUUGUAUGCAUUUAUUUGUAUCGAGACGAGAGAACUUGAGUAAACCUUACCAUUUAGAGGAAGGUGAAGUCGUAACA